UGGGGAAUCUUGCACAAUGGGCGAAAGCCUGAUGCAGCGACGCCGCGUGCGGGAUGAAGGCCUUCGGGUUGUAAACCGCUUUCAGCAGGGACGAGGCCGCAAGGUGACGGUACCUGCAGAAGAAGCCCCGGCUAACUACGUGCCAGCAGCCGCGGUAAUACGUAGGGGGCAAGCGUUAUCCGGAUUCAUUGGGCGUAAAGCGCGCGUAGGCGGUUUGUUAGGUCAGGAGUUAAAUCUGGGGGCUCAACCCCUAUCCGCUCCUGAUACCGGCAGGCGUGAGUCUGGUAGGGGAAGGCGGAAUUCCAAGUGUAGCGGUGAAAUGCGUAGAUAUUGGGAGGAACACCAGUAGCGAAGGCGGCUUUCUGGACUGCAACUGACACUGAGGCACGAAAGCGUGGGUAGCAAACAGG
RNAcentral lists this ribosomal RNA (410 nucleotides) under Verrucomicrobiota bacterium. RNAcentral describes it as "Verrucomicrobia bacterium partial 16S ribosomal RNA". It matches the Rfam family "Bacterial small subunit ribosomal RNA", at positions 355 to 776 of the family's 1533-position model. Lineage: Bacteria; Pseudomonadati; Verrucomicrobiota. The record is from RNAcentral.